Non-coding RNA from Vicugna pacos (alpaca), 3332 nucleotides. Lineage: Eukaryota; Metazoa; Chordata; Mammalia; Artiodactyla; Camelidae. The record is from RefSeq and is a predicted model, not a curated record.
CCCUCCCACCUAGAUUGCAAUCUCCUGCUAGAGUCAAGGCCUCCGCUCCCUGUGAAUAAACCAUGGAACGCGACACAGGUCUGGACAUGGUACAGACCCGUCUUACCACUGUGGCUCGUGGAAUCCCCAGUUACAGGAGUUCAUCCCUCCAGCAGCCGGCCCUUCGUGCUGGGACUCCCCAGGCCCUGCUCAGGAAAGUGACCCCAGGAACCACAAGGUGGCGCUGUUCUCACAACCGUCCAGUCCCCUGAAACCUCCCGGCACCUGAGCCUAAAACAUACUCCAGUAUUUGGAAGAAGAGGCUUUCCCUGGACCAGUUGUUGAAUUCUUUCUCGGCCUUCAGCUGCCAAAGGUUGUUCAGACUCAGGAAUGCGGCUACGAAAAACACUCUGCGCUGAGUGCAGUGCAGGCUGCAGCUCCUCGCCAGUUCUCCUCUACAAAGGAAUUCAAUACCCAGAGGCCCUCGGGCACGCCUAACACAUACGGAAGGAAUGCGUGCACGCUAAGCAGUAGCACGUGCGUCGGCGCGUGCGUGAACAGGGCAGCCAGAGCCAGAGGACGCUGGUGUCAGAUUGUUUAGCAUUGCAGGUGUGGAGGCAGAAGAGUCUCUCCCCGAUUCUCUUCCAACUGUGAUGACAGCCCAGGGGAGAAUGAUGGUCAUGCAUGACACGUCCAUCCAGCUCUGUUCACCACGAGCCUUUUCAGCAACUGUGGUCCUGCAUGACGCUCACACUGUCCCUGAGAGUCGGGAAAGGGAUGACACUGCCUGUGGGGAAGCCUUGGCCUCCUGCACAAUGGACUGAAAAAUGAUGAUAAGACAAUGCACCUGCCUUCAAGAUGUCGUGGUUCACUGAGGAUGAUUCAAAAGUUACAAACCAAGGGACAAAGCCCCAAGCACUGCAACAGGAACUGACAACACAACGACCAUGUGUGCUUGAGGUAAGAGGCUGACACGCCAGGGGCUGGGCAGAGGCCACGGACCUGCUCUCUUGGGAGCUACCUGAGUCAUCCAAGGCUGCAUUCAGUGCAUCUCUCCUGAUCUUCUCCGGUCUGCUGCCGAGCUGCUGAGUAAGCCCCCCUUUCAGGUGACUCCCAGGAAACUGGUUUAGCAGCACAGCAGAAAGUCCAGGCAGCUGGGGGGGGGGGCAGGAAGCAGAAGAUGGGCCUCCAUUCAGAAGCCGGCAGCUGCAGGAAUCUUUCGCUGCACCACGAGGCUCGUCCUGUCCCCUGACCUUGGGCUCCAGGAGUGCAUCCAGGCUGGGCAACAAAGAAGGGCAUGCCCCGUAAACUUGAGUUGAUUUUAAUGUCAGCUGGCUUGCUCAGUCCCUCUUUAAAGGAAUUUCAUGUCCACCUGGCCACAAUUUGGUUUUACUCCUGUGUGUGCUGGUGGCUCAGGACGCUGGCUGUGGCCACCUAACCCGGCCGCAGAGCGCAUCACGACAGAGUCUCUGAUGCAUGAGCUCCCCUUCGCCGCGCGCAGAACUUCAAGGGCUCUUCCAGCCGUGCAUCUAGCAAAAGUAAGAAAGCAUGCUUAGACCCAGGGAGCAAGGUUUAAAUUGUGUUUUUCUUGCUCUUUCUCUUUCUUCUUUGAGGAUCUGCCUAAUAACCUGCAGUACCAUGGGAGAUACAUAUUUGGUCUUUGCCCCCAGUUCCUGGUACACAUCUCCAAAAACUCUCAGAAUCUCUGAAACGAUGAGUGUCAUCUUGGUAUAAGAUGACUGGUGGCUGGGGGUCCCUAGACAGCUACCGGGUGGGAGCAGGUCACCAGAAAGACCAGGGCUUGAUUAGAGGGUUGGAGCUUUCAACCCCACCCCCUGACCUUCGGGGAGGGGAGAGGCUUGGAUGGAGUUACUCAUCAGUGACCAUUGAUUCAGUGAAUUGUGCCUCUGUAGUGAAACCUCUGUGAGAGCCCUUCAGUGACAAAGUUCGGAGAGCUUCCCAGAUGGUGAGCACCUCAAGGUGCUGGGAGGGUGGCCCGCCCAGAGAGGGCUUCACACCCCUCCCCACAUACCUCGCCCUGUGCGUCUCUUCCAUUGGCUGUUCCUGUGCUGUUUCCUUUAUAGUAAACCAGUAAUAGCAAGUAAAGCUCUUUCCUGAGAUCUGGGAGCUCUUCUGGCAAAUUGUUGAACCUGAGGGUGAGGGUCAUGGAGCCCCAGGUUAUAACUAGCUGGUCAGAAGUAGCUGGGACUCGUGACUGGCAUCAGAAACGGGGAUGGUCGUGUGGGCCUUGACCUGAGGGUCUGCACUAACCCCCGGUGAAUAGCAUCAGAAUUGAUCUGAGUUGUUGGACACCCAGUCAGCAUCCAGGGUGUUGCAGACUGGUGGCUGGUGUGGGAAAACCCUGUCAGAAGUGUCAGAACCACUUGUACGGUUCAUUCACUGUUCGCAGUAUCCCCAGCCCAGGGCCCUUUACCCGCACAAUCUCAUUAACGCACCUGACAACCCCAGGUGGUAGGUACUGUCAUUGUGCCCAUGUUACAGAUGUGAAGCCUGGGGCUGAGAGUAACAGAAGCUGAGAGCUGGGAUUUCAACCCUGGUCUAACUCUGAAGUCAACAUUGUGUUUUAAAACAACUCAUUUGUUUGCUUUUAAUUUUUUGCGUAGGUACUACGUCUACAAUUUGCAAAUUUCACCAGGUACAGAGGGUUAACACGGGACAGUCCUCUGCUGACAAACGCACGGUGCUGUGCGCACACUGUUUUGCACUUGUUUAUUCAGCAAGGAUUCGUUAGGUGCUCCCACGUGUGAGGCUCUGUUCUAGGAGCUGGGAACAGAGAUGAUCGAAACAGCAAAGCCUCUGUUCAUCUGUUUUUAUAGAGCUGACAUUCUGGAGGGCAAAGAGAGACCUUCAAACCUACACACACACACAUACACAUACAUACACAGAGGGAGAGAGAGAGAAAGAAUAUUCUGUGUAUUUUAGGAGGUGAUAAAUGCUAUUAAGAAACCAAAGCAGAGGACAGAGAAUGAUGAGGAGAGUUGCUAUCUUAGAUGUGGUUUGGAGAUCCCUCAGAUAAGGUGACAUUUGAGAGACACGAAGAAAGUGAAGAAGGUACCUGAUAAGGGUGUAGCAUCUGGAACAGGUAAAGGGCUCUUCUAACUCAACAACAAAAAGACAAGCAGCCCCACUUUUAAAAAUGGGCAAAGGACUUAAAUAGGCACAUCUCCCAAGAAGAAAAACAGUCAACAGACAUGUGAAAAGACAUUCAACAGUUUACACCUUACAUCCAGUAUCAUCAGUCACUGGAAAAAUACAAAUCAAAAUGACUUCACCCCCAUCAGAAUGGCUAUAAUAAAAAAAAAUGGAAAAUAAGUAUUGGUGAGGAUGUGGAG